GAUGAACUUUGGCGGCGUGCCUAACACAUGCAAGUCGAGCGCGUCUGAUUUGAUGCUUGCAUUGAUGAAAGAUGAGCGGCGGACGGGUGAGUAACGCGUGGGUAACCUGCCCUAUACACAUGGAUAACAUACUGAAAAGUUUACUAAUACAUGAUAAUAUAUAUUUACGGCAUCGUAGAUAUAUCAAAGUGUUAGCGGUAUAGGAUGGACCCGCGUCUGAUUAGCUAGUUGGUGAGAUAACUGCCCACCAAGGCGACGAUCAGUAGCCGACCUGAGAGGGUGAUCGGCCACAUUGGAACUGAGACACGGUCCAAACUCCUACGGGAGGCAGCAGUGGGGAAUAUUGCACAAUGGGCGCAAGCCUGAUGCAGCAACGCCGCGUGAACGAUGAAGGUCUUCGGAUCGUAAAGUUCUGUUGCAGGGGAAGAUAAUGACGGUACCCUGUGAGGAAGCCCCGGCUAACUACGUGCCAGCAGCCGCGGUAAUACGUAGGGGGCUAGCGUUAUCCGGAUUUACUGGGCGUAAAGGGUGCGUAGGUGGUCUUUCAAGUCGGUGGUUAAAGGCUACGGCUCAACCGUAGUUAGCCUCCGAAACUGGAAGACUUGAGUGCAGGAGAGGAAAGUGGAAUUCCCAGUGUAGCGGUGAAAUGCGUAGAUAUUGGGAGGAACACCAGUAGCGAAGGCGGGCCUUUCUGGACUGCAACUGACACUGAUGGCACGAAAGCGUUGGGUAGCAAACAGCGAUUAGAUACCCCUGGUAGUCCAGGUUGUUAAACGAUGAGUACUAUGUGUCGGGGGUUACCCCCCUCGGUGCCGCAGCUAACGCAUUAAGUACUCCGCCUGGGGAGUGCGCACGCAAGUGUGAAACUCAAAGGAAUUGACGGGGACCCGCACAAGUAGCGGAGCAUGUGGUUUAAUUCGAAGCAACGCGAAGAACCUUACCUAAGCUUGACAUCCCUUAGACCGGUGUUUAAUCACACCUUCCCUUCGGGGCUGAGGUGACAGGUGGUGCAUGGUUGUCGUCAGCUCGUGUCGUGAGAUGUUGGGUUAAGUCCCGCAACGAGCGCAACCCUUGUCUUUAGUUGCCAGCAUUCAGUUGGGCACUCUAGAGAGACUGCCAGGGAUAACCUGGAGGAAGGUGGGGAUGACGUCAAAUCAUCAUGCCCCUUAUGCUUAGGGCUACACACGUGCUACAAUGGGUGGUACAGAGGGUUGCCAAACCGUGAGGUGGAGCUAAUCCCUUAAAGCCAUUCUCAGUUCGGAUUGUAGGCUGAAACUCGCCUACAUGAAGCUGGAGUUACUAGUAAUCGCAGAUCAGAAUGCUGCGGUGAAUGCGUUCCCGGCUCA
This 1346-nucleotide ribosomal RNA is filed under the name uncultured bacterium. Its description in RNAcentral is "bacterial SSU rRNA". It matches the Rfam family "Bacterial small subunit ribosomal RNA", at positions 28 to 1381 of the family's 1533-position model. The record is from RNAcentral.